UACGGGGGGGGCAAGCGUUGUUCGGAAUUACUGGGCGUAAAGGGCUCGUAGGCGGCCAACUAAGUCAUACGUGAAAUCCCUCGGCUUAACCGGGGAACUGCGUCUGAUACUGGAUGGCUUGAGUUCGGGAGAGGGAUGCGGAAUUCCAGGUGUAGCGGUGAAAUGCGUAGAUAUCUGGAGGAACACCCGGUGGCGAAGGCGGCAUCCUGGACCGAUACUGACGCUGAGGAGCGAAAGCCAGGGGAGCAAACGGG
Molecule: ribosomal RNA, 254 nt
Filed under: uncultured bacterium
Lineage: Bacteria
Description: partial 16S ribosomal RNA
Rfam family: Bacterial small subunit ribosomal RNA
Source: RNAcentral